RNAcentral lists this ribosomal RNA (440 nucleotides) under uncultured bacterium. RNAcentral describes it as "partial 16S ribosomal RNA". It matches the Rfam family "Bacterial small subunit ribosomal RNA", at positions 338 to 795 of the family's 1533-position model. The record is from RNAcentral.
CCUACGGGAGGCAGCAGUGGGGAAUAUUGCACAAUGGGGGAAACCCUGAUGCAGCGACGCCGCGUGAGUGAGGAAGUAUUUCGGUAUGUAAAGCUUUAUCAGCAGGGAAGAAAAUGACGGUACCUGUCUAAGAAGCCCCGGCUAACUACGUGCCAGCAGCCGCGGCAAUACGUAGGUGGCAAGCGUUAUCCGGAUUUACUGGGUGUAAAGGGAGCGUAGACGGCUAAUCAAGUCAGAAGUGAAAACCCAGGGCUCAACUUUGGGACUGCUUUUGAAACUGGGUAGCUAGAGUGCCGGAGAGGUAAGCGGAAUUCGUGGUGUAGCGGUGAAAUGCGUAGAUAUUAGGAGGAACACCAGUGGCGAAGGCAGCUUACUGGACUGUAACUGACGUUGAGGCUCGAAAGCGUGGGGAGCAAACAGGAUUAGAUACCCUUGUAGUC